Molecule: ribosomal RNA, 1273 nt
Filed under: soil metagenome
Description: bacterial LSU rRNA
Rfam family: Bacterial large subunit ribosomal RNA
Source: RNAcentral
CGAUGGUAGUCCCCGGGUAAGCGUGUAGGAGGGUUCCGAUGAGAGUUGGAGCCAGUAACUCUGAGACGUGAUGCCGAGUCGAUUCAGACGAAGUCAUCAAUUCCAUACUGUCAAGAAAAGCCCAACAGUAAGUUGACACGGCACCCGUACCCCAAACCGACACAGGUGGGCGGGUAGAGAAUACCAAGGCGAUCGGGAGAACUAUGGUUAAGGAACUCGGCAAAUUACAUCCGUAACUUCGGGAGAAGGAUGACCCCAUUAGCGUGAAGAGAUUUACUCUCUGAGCGUGAGAGGGUGGCACAGACCAGGGGGUAGCGACUGUUUACCAAAAACACAGCAGCGUGCGAAGCCGUAAGGCGCUGUAUACGCUGUGACGCCUGCCCAAUGCUGGAAGGUCACGGGGAAUGGUUAGUCGUAAGGCGAAGCUAUGAACCUAAGCCCCAGUGAAUGGCGGCCGUAACUAUAACGGUCCUAAGGUAGCGAAAUUCCUUGUCGGGUAAGUUCCGACCUGCACGAAUGGCGUAACGACUUCCCCACUGUCUCAACCACAGGCCCGGCGAAAUUGCAGUACGAGUAAAGAUGCUCGUUACGCGCGGCAGGACGGAAAGACCCCGGGACCUUUACUACAGCUUGGUAUUGGUGCUCGGUUCGGUUUGUGUAGGAUAGGUGGGAGACUUUGAAGCUUGGACGCCAGUUCAGGUGGAGUCAACGUUGAAAUACCACUCUGGUCGUACUAGAUGUCUAACCUAGGUCCGUAAUCCGGAUCAGGGACAGUGCCUGAUGGGUAGUUUAACUGGGGCGGUUGCCUCCUAAAAUGUAACGGAGGCGCUCAAAGGUUCCCUCAGCCUGGUUGGCAAUCAGGUGGCGAGUGCAAGUGCACAAGGGAGCUUGACUGUGAGACAGACAUGUCGAGCAGGAGCGAAAGCUGGGACUAGUGAUCCGGCACUGGCUUGUGGAAGCGGUGUCGCUCAACGGAUAAAAGGUACCCCGGGGAUAACAGGCUGAUCUUCCCCAAGAGUCCAUAUCGACGGGAUGGUUUGGCACCUCGAUGUCGGCUCGUCGCAUCCUGGGGCUGUAGCAGGUCCCAAGGGUUGGGCUGUUCGCCCAUUAAAGCGGUACGCGAGCUGGGUUUAGAACGUCGUGAGACAGUUCGGUCCCUAUCCGCCGUGCGCGUUGGAUACUUGAGAAGGGCUGUCCCUAGUACGAGAGGACCGGGACGGACGAACCUCUGGUGUGCCAGUUGUCCCGCCAGGGGCACGGCUGGUUGGCUACG